RNAcentral lists this ribosomal RNA (559 nucleotides) under uncultured bacterium. Its description in RNAcentral is "bacterial SSU rRNA". It matches the Rfam family "Bacterial small subunit ribosomal RNA", at positions 777 to 1343 of the family's 1533-position model. The record is from RNAcentral.
AAUAGAUACCCCGGUAGUCCACGCCGUAAACGAUGGAUGCUAGCUAUUGGGGGGAAUCGACCCCCUCCGAAGCGAAGCUAACGCGUUAAGCAUCCCGCCUGAGUAGUACGAGCGCAAGCUUAAAACUCAAAGGAAUUGACGGGGACCCGCACAAGCGGUGGAGCGUGUGGUUUAAUUCGAUGGUAAACGAAGAACCUUACCAAGGUUUGACAUCCCGGUAGCCGUUCUCCGAAAGGAGAAUUUCAUUUAGUUGGACCGGUGACAGGUGAUGCAUGGCCGUCGUCAGCUCGUGUCGUGAGAUGUUGGGUUAAGUCCCGCAACGAGCGCAACCCUUAUGAUUUAGUUGGAUUUUUCUAAACAGACUGCCCUGGUAACAGGGAGGAAGGAGGGGAUGAUGGUCAGGUCAGUAUUUCCCUUACACCUUGGGGCGACACACGCGCUACAAUGGCCGGUACAAUGGGCAGCUAAGCCGCGAGGUGGAGCAAAUCCCAUCAAAGCCGGUCCCAGUUCGGAUUGCAGGCUGAAACCCGCCUGCAUGAAGCCGGAAUCGCUAGUAACC